Molecule: unclassified non-coding RNA, 213 nt
Filed under: uncultured Gammaproteobacteria bacterium
Lineage: Bacteria; Pseudomonadati; Pseudomonadota; Gammaproteobacteria
Description: contains 16S-23S intergenic spacer region
Rfam family: Bacterial small subunit ribosomal RNA
Source: RNAcentral
UACCCUUGACAUGGAUGGAAUCCUGGAGAGAUCUGGGAGUGCCCGAAAGGGAACCAUUACACAGGUGCUGCAUGGCUGUCGUCAGCUCGUGUCGUGAGAUGUUGGGUUAAGUCCCGCAACGAGCGCAACCCUUGUCAUUAGUUGCUACGAAAGAGCACUCUAAUGAGACUGCCGGUGACAAACCGGAGGAAGGUGGGGAUGACGUAGUCUACG